This 207-nucleotide ribosomal RNA is filed under the name uncultured Eubacteriales bacterium. RNAcentral's name for it is "uncultured Clostridiales bacterium partial 16S ribosomal RNA". It matches the Rfam family "Bacterial small subunit ribosomal RNA", at positions 568 to 774 of the family's 1533-position model. Lineage: Bacteria; Bacillati; Bacillota; Clostridia; Eubacteriales. The record is from RNAcentral.
UGCGUAGGCGGCAUGGCAAGUCAGAUGUGAAAUCCCCGGGCUUAACUCGGGUGGUGCAUUUGAAACUGCCAGGCUUGAGUGCAGGAGAGGAAAGCGGAAUUCCUAGUGUAGCGGUGAAAUGCGUAGAUAUUAGGAGGAACACCAGUGGCGAAGGCGGCUUUCUGGACUGUAACUGACGCUGAGGCACGAAAGCGUGGGGAGCAAACA